UCUCUUAAGUCUUUCCCUCUCUAGAAUUGGACUUUCUCUCUUUACAUUCUCUCUCCAUUUUCUCUCUCUAGAUUUUCUCCCUAUUUUCUCUCUCUAGACCUUUUAUCUCUUUUUAUGGAUUUCAUCUCUCUAGGGUCAUUCUCUCUCUGAUUGCAUCACAGACCCUAGGAUAAACUUGAGAUGAAAAUAUGAUGAUCUGAGACUGCUCCAAAAUUCAUGCAGUAGAUUAGAUCCUGAUCCGAUCCUUCUUCGAAAUUGAUAACAUCGGUCAUGGUUAAUUCAUAUUAAGUCAUCCUGAUAUAACCUCUGAUGAUCUCAAUCAUGAUUGUCACUUUUGAAGGAUACGAAGAUUCUCUCUCUACUUUCUCUCUCAUGAUCGACUUUCUCUAUCUAAAAAAGGUCUAUGAAUCCUGUAUCGAGUCAUGCCUUCAUCUUUUAGAAGCUCAUAUUGACUCUAACAAGAUGAUCCGAAGUUGCUUUGAUAUCCGUGCUG
This 493-nucleotide long non-coding RNA is filed under the name Elaeis guineensis (African oil palm). RNAcentral's name for it is "long non-coding RNA (EGUI_LNC071565)". Lineage: Eukaryota; Viridiplantae; Streptophyta; Magnoliopsida; Arecales; Arecaceae. The record is from RNAcentral.